This 69-nucleotide transfer RNA is filed under the name Marmota marmota marmota (Alpine marmot). It matches the Rfam family "tRNA". Rfam says of the family: Transfer RNA (tRNA) molecules are approximately 80 nucleotides in length. Their secondary structure includes four short double-helical elements and three loops (D, anti-codon, and T loops). The record is from Rfam by way of RNAcentral. Lineage: Eukaryota; Metazoa; Chordata; Mammalia; Rodentia; Sciuridae. RNAcentral also lists the same sequence under 3 other names.
GGGGUUGUGGCUCAGAGGUAGAGCACUCGCCUAGCAUGUGUGAGGCACUGGGUUUGAUCCUCAGCACCA